UACGUAGGGUCCGAGCGUUGUCCGGAAUCAUUGGGCGUAAAGGGCUCGUAGGCGGCUUGUCGCGUCGGGAGUGAAAACUCAGGGCUCAACCCUGAGCGUGCUUCCGAUACGGGCAGACUAGAGGUAUGCAGGGGAGAACGGAAUUCCUGGUGUAGCGGUGGAAUGCGCAGAUAUCAGGAGGAACACCGGUGGCGAAGGCGGUUCUCUGGGCAUGACCUGACGCUGAGGAGCGAAAGCAUGGGGAGCGAACAGG
Molecule: ribosomal RNA, 253 nt
Filed under: uncultured bacterium
Lineage: Bacteria
Description: partial 16S ribosomal RNA
Rfam family: Bacterial small subunit ribosomal RNA
Source: RNAcentral